UAAAAAGACUGGGAGAAGGGAAAUAAAAU
Molecule: non-coding RNA, 29 nt
Filed under: Rattus norvegicus (Norway rat)
Lineage: Eukaryota; Metazoa; Chordata; Mammalia; Rodentia; Muridae
Source: RNAcentral